Mesocricetus auratus (golden hamster) is the source of this 383-nucleotide long non-coding RNA. RefSeq lists it as uncharacterized. NCBI's taxonomy places the organism in Eukaryota, Metazoa, Chordata, Mammalia, Rodentia, Cricetidae. The transcript is spliced from 3 exons. The record is from RefSeq and is a predicted model, not a curated record.
UUUCCGUCAGAAGGUGGUAAUGCAGAACGUCUUUCUGUGUACGUCCCAGUGAGUCCCGCACGGAAACACAGUGGGUCAACAUGUCCUUACGGGGGUUGACUUGGGCCCGGAGAGUGAAGACUGUACCAGACAAAUAAACCUGAAGAUGCAGAGGGUUGGCUAUUCUUGCAACACAUCUCUGGAAGCAUAAGGCUCUUUGUUGGUGCUGGCACCUGGAGGUGCCUCCAUGUCUGGAAGCCAAAUUAAACCUCCUUUUUCAACGUGAAAAAUAAAUGACCCAGAGACUGAUAUUGGGGUUCAAGCUGAAGAUUGGGAAAGCAAAGCAGUCAGUCACUAGCUCUUGCCUCUAGCUCAGGCUGAAAGGGCUGAUCCACGCAUGAGCU